This 259-nucleotide long non-coding RNA is filed under the name Pelobates cultripes (western spadefoot toad). Lineage: Eukaryota; Metazoa; Chordata; Amphibia; Anura; Pelobatidae. The record is from RNAcentral.
AUCCUCCCCAGCUCUCAUAACCCAAGCCAUUUGUGUGUUUCCUUCCCUUUUCUGUGACCGACCGCAGGGCCAAAAUACAUGGAACCCUUUUCGGCUGUUAACCCCAGCGCGGUUGGUCUUUUUAGUACCUCCAGGAAUUUCCCGAACCCCUGGUGAUCUGGGUGAUUUUUGGAUAUGUGUCUCACCCAGAUCAGGGCUACCAGGGGAUGUAAUAUUUAAAGGGGUACUCCUAGGUUUAGGGGUACAUCCAGAAAACAAG